AGGACUAUAGUUAACUAUAACAUCUGGGUUGCAUUCAGAAGGUGCCUAAGGCUUUUCUUA
RNAcentral lists this transfer RNA (60 nucleotides) under Homidia koreana. Its description in RNAcentral is "tRNA-Ala". Lineage: Eukaryota; Metazoa; Arthropoda; Collembola; Entomobryomorpha; Entomobryidae. The record is from RNAcentral.